CGGGGUGAGUAACGCGUGGAAAACCUGCCGUAUACUGGGGGAUAACACUUAGAAAUAGGUGCUAAUACCGCAUAAGCGCACAGCUUCGCAUGAAGUGGUGUGAAAAACUCUGGUGGUAUACGAUGGUUCCGCGUCUGAUUAGCUUGUUGGUGGGGUAAUGGCUCACCAAGGCGACGAUCAGUAGCCGGACUGAGAGGUUGGCCGGCCACAUUGGGACUGAGACACGGCCCAGACUCCUACGGAAGGCAGCAG
Molecule: ribosomal RNA, 252 nt
Filed under: uncultured bacterium
Lineage: Bacteria
Description: partial 16S ribosomal RNA
Rfam family: Bacterial small subunit ribosomal RNA
Source: RNAcentral